UACGUAGGGGGCAAGCGUUGUCCGGAAUCAUUGGGCGUAAAGCGCGUGUAGGCGGCCCGGUAAGUCCGCUGUGAAAGUCGGGGGCUCAACCCUCGAAUGCCGGUGGAUACUGUCGGGCUAGAGUGCGGAAGAGGCGAGUGGAAUUCCUGGUGUAGCGGUGAAAUGCGCAGAUAUCAGGAGAAACACCAAUUGCGAAGGCAGCUCGCUGGGACGUGACUGACGCUGAGACGCGAAAGCGUGGGGAGCAAACAGG
Molecule: ribosomal RNA, 253 nt
Filed under: uncultured bacterium
Lineage: Bacteria
Description: partial 16S ribosomal RNA
Rfam family: Bacterial small subunit ribosomal RNA
Source: RNAcentral